ACUCCUACGGGAGGGCAGCAGUGGGAAUAUUGCACAAUGGGGGAAACCCUGAUGCAGCCAUGCCGCGUGUGUGAAGAAGGCCUUCGGGUUGUAAAGCACUUUCAGCGAGGAGGAAAGGGUGUGUGCUAAUACCAUACAUCUGUGACGUUACUCGCAGAAGAAGCACCGGCUAACUCCGUGCCAGCAGCCGCGGUAAUACGGAGGGUGCGAGCGUUAAUCGGAAUUACUGGGCGUAAAGCGUGCGCAGGCGGUUUGUUAAGCGAGAUGUGAAAGCCCCGGGCUCAAGCCUGGGAAUUGCAUUUGCAGAACUGGCAAGCUAGAGUCUUGUAGAGGGGGGUAGAAUUGCAGGUGUAGCGGUGAAAUGCGUAGAGAUCUGAAGGAAUACCGGUGGCGAAGGCGG
Molecule: ribosomal RNA, 400 nt
Filed under: uncultured bacterium
Lineage: Bacteria
Description: bacterial SSU rRNA
Rfam family: Bacterial small subunit ribosomal RNA
Source: RNAcentral